UCCGUAGGUGAACCUGCGGAAGGAUCAUUACCAAUUUUAUCGGGGGGGCUUUGGCCCCUGUCUGAACCCUUGUCUUUUGCGUACUAUUUGUUUCCUUGGUGGGCCUUGCCUGCCGAUAGGACACUAUUAAACCUUUUGUAAUUGCAAUCAGCGUCAGAAAAACAUAAUAGUUACAACUUUCAACAACGGAUCUCUUGGUUCUGGCAUCGAUGAAGAACGCAGCGAAAUGCGAAAAGUAGUGUGAAUUGCAGAAUUCAGUGAAUCAUCGAAUCUUUGAACGCACAUUGCGCCCCUUGGUAUUCCAUGGGGCAUGCCUGUUCGAGCGUCAUUUGUACCUUCAAGCUCUGCUUGGUGUUGGGUGUUUGUCCCGCUUUUUUGUGCGGACUCGCCUCAAAGCAAUUGGCAGCCGGCGUACUASCCUGGGAGCGCAGCACAUUUUGCGCGUCUCAACUGGAACGCUUGCGUCCAUGAAGCCUAAAUUUUUGCUCUUGACCUCGGAUCAGGUAGGGAUACCCGCUGAACUUAAGCAUAUCAAUAAGCGGAGGA
This 546-nucleotide ribosomal RNA is filed under the name Hyalodendriella sp. HS-4-N1-1-1. Its description in RNAcentral is "eukaryotic LSU rRNA". The stretch from base 175 to 328 matches the Rfam family "5.8S ribosomal RNA". The record is from RNAcentral. Lineage: Eukaryota; Fungi; Ascomycota; Leotiomycetes; Helotiales; Hamatocanthoscyphaceae.